This 7065-nucleotide long non-coding RNA is filed under the name Sus scrofa (pig). RNAcentral's name for it is "lncRNA (ENSSSCG00000053116.1)". The record is from RNAcentral. Lineage: Eukaryota; Metazoa; Chordata; Mammalia; Artiodactyla; Suidae.
ACAUCAUCAUUAUAAUCAUCAUCCUCAAAAUCGUUUUUCUUUAUUAUUAUCCUCAUUAUGAUCACCGCCAUCGCUAUUAUCACUACUAGAAUAACAAAUGCACCUCUGUUCAAUAUGUUAGCAAAAUGGAAAUUAAAAGUAUAUAUACAUCUAGAGCCAAGCAUAUUUUCCAUGAAUAAAGAGGAUUAAUGAUCAGUUGAAGGGGAAGAAAGUGUAAAUCUGCAGAAUUUAUUCAUGGUUUGAGAUAUCAUGUGAAAAUUUAGCUUUGAAAGGAAGCAAUAAAAUUUGCAUUUUUGAAUUUAUACCUAGUUUGACACCCUCUGGGCCAGGACAAGGAACAGAUGCUGUCAAUACAAAUUGCAGCACUUAUGUAAUAUUGUGACAUACAUGAGUGAAUGUAAGCAGCAUUUUUCUCAAAGAUCUUUCCAUCACAAGGCAAUCACUUUUUAGCAGUUGUCCUUCAUCUACAAUAUAUGGCCCUCAUCACCUUAGAAGUUAACAAAAUAUUACUGCACCAUGCUGUUUUCUCAAUCUGAAUGUGUAUCUUAGGUGUAUGAAAUAUUACCUAUUCAUAGAACACUUCCUCUGAAAUUGAAUAUACAUGCACACCAAACCUAUAAUGGGUUAUUAUGAAUACCUCUCUUUUCCUUUGCAGAAAAAAAAAUAAUUAGGAUUUCUAUUUUGGAAAAUAAAAAGCUGCAUUUGUUCAAAAUGUUACCUAAGGUAUCAAACCUGUAUCAUAUAGUAUAUUAUGCUUUUGCGUAUAAUAUUACAUUAUAGUAGGUUAAGCAGAGUAUCAUGCAUGCAUUUUUUCACAGCAUAUAAUUAACGUCUAAAAUAUUUGUUAGGUGAGUGAAUGAAUGUGCUCUACAAGUUAAUAACUCACUUCUGCAGUUUUUGUUAGUGAUUAAAGUAUUUUUUAAAAACAAUUCAGUCUGAGGUGUACUCACAUACAAAAACACCUGAUUCAUUUGAUCUUGCAAAGUAUGGCGUAUUUGCUCAAAGGGUAAGAGUAGUAUGCGCACAAAUUACUUCACUAUCAUCUUAAAUGUAAUUUCUCCGUUUUCAACUGUUUCAAUCCCAUAUCCAAAACAUAAAUGAAAAAUUCUAACCCGAUGUCUAACUCUUUAAUAAGUAAUAGAUACUGAAUUAAAUCAACACAUCUCUAUUUUUUGUGAUUUUCUACCAGUAUUAAUUUUCUUAAAAUUAUACAUUUUAGUAAUAAAUGGAUAGGUAAGUAUGGAGUCAAAUGCUCUCUCCUGAUUUUCAGACAAUUCUUUUGGCUAACAUUAUGAGGAAACGAAACUUUUUUACUCGUGAAAAUAAUUAAUUUGAAACAAUUGAAAUUUAUGAAGUUCACAUUUUAAAUAAAUGUUCAAAUUCCUCAGAGAAAGAACAUUUUCUCUACACCUAAAUUAAGGCUAUUAUCAUCUAACUAUUUCAUUUAUUCACAUAUAUGGGAGUCCCUGAGAAACUGGAGACUGAGUGACGUAUUAAAAAUACGGGUGGAUUCAUUACAGAUUGUUAUACAUUUUGAAAUCUCAUGUAACUUCCUUCAGAAGUUUCAAAACUCAGUGGGCCUGCAUAUGAAAAAUAGGAAUCUUUUAAGUCCUACCUUUUCAUUAUUUCCUUCAUUUUGUCCAUACAGUUUUUCCAGCUAUCACUGACUGGCCUUGAAAAUGAAACACUGAAAAUUCACUAUCUCAAGACAUUCUAAUGAGACUUUGGCCUAAAUUUUUUUAAAAAAGUAUAACCUUCAUAUGAAAGCUCUUAAAAUAAUCCAAAAAGUGUCUAAAUGGUAACUUUCUCAGUAGAAAUUCAAACUUGACUUUGAUGUUCACUAGAAAUAGUAAUCUUUCAUUAUAUACAAUCACCUAGAUCAACUCUCACUCUACAAAUACCAGAGAUGGAAUUAAAAUCUUAUUUCCCAAUUUGUUUUCAUUUAUCUAUGCUGCUUCUAUGUUUGAAUCUUCACAAAUGAAUGCAACUGACCAUGGAGGAUAAGUAAUUUCCUAAAAAUAAGCCAGUAUAGGAUGUAGUGACCAUUUACAGUUAUUUUGGCCACUCAGAAACCGAAUAUCCUUCCAACAUUGUGGAAGUCUCCAGGCAUGUAAAACAAAGUCUCUCUCUCACAAUAGAAGAUAUAAAACUAGAUAUCUGUUUUGCCAAGCCCCCUCGCACCUACGAAUAUACACACACAAAUAACUUGGAUUUAACCAGUCAGCUGUACCCAACCCAGACCUGAAAUUGUAAGCAUAAGCAUAAAAAAAAAAUGUGUAUAUCAUUCUGGCAAUGUUGAGACUAUCAACAUUCAGUUUUUAGACUAACUACAUUCAGUUUUUAGAGGUAGUGAUGCACGACCAUAUUGAGAAGUUUCUAAUGACAUUAAUACAGAAUUCAAAAAAAAAAAAACAAGCAAGCAAAGAACUGAGGCAAUAAUUAACAUUUAGAAAAGCAAAAUGUUGUAUAAGCACAAAAAUAUGUUUAUGCACAUUACGUGGCACAGGGGCAAACAACAACUAUAUAGUCCCAAAAAGCACAUUCAUGAAAAAUACAGAUUUAAGUAAAAAUUGGGAUGCCACUGUAUUACAAACAGGAAGAAUAGGAAAUGGUUAAAAAAAAAAAAAGUUUAGCAUCAUCUCUUACAUUUGGAAAAAAAAAGUCAGAAUUUUCCAAAGAAACAGAACAAAAAUGAUAACAGGAUGAGUAUAUUUGUACACAGAGACAGAUGGAGAGUUGAGAGAGAGGGAGGAGAGAGAGAGAUUGAGAUUUAUUUUUUAAAAGAUUAGCUCACAUAUUGUAGAAGCUUGGCAAGUUCUACAUCUGCAGGGUAGGCCAGUAGCCUAGAGACCCAGGGAAGAACUGCAGUUCAAGUCCAAAUGCAGUCCACCGGCAGAAUUAAUUGUCACAUGGGGAGGUCACUCUUUUUCUAUUAAGGCUUUCAACUGACUGAAUGAGGCUCACCCACAUUAGGGAGGGUGAUCUGCCUUGCUCAAAAUGUACUGAUUUAAAUGCAAGUCUUCUCUGACAAAUACCUUCACAGGAACAUCCAGAAUAAUAUUUGCCCAAGCAUAAAGGAUGAACAUUUUCACUCCGUAUGACUGCUCACGUCAGAAAACCAAUCUAGGUUUGGAAAUUCCUCAUCGUGGGGAUCUCACUGGCCCACAAAGAUCAUCUCUUCUUACACUGAGAAGUCUGUACUCUCUUUCUAUUCUCCUUACAGCUGGACACACUUUUGAACCUGUAAUAUAAAGGAGCAAGAAGCUUUCUCUUUCUCACACUGAGGAUAGUGACCAGAGUUGCAAAGUCAGGUUCUUGAAAUAGAAGUGAGGACAGAAUGAAGUGAAAUAUUCUCAGCCUGCUGGCAGUAGCAGCUGUUCCCUCUUCAGACUAGUUCUAGGCUGUAGUUUGGGGAUUUGCUGCUAGAAACUGCCUUGAGCCUAACCGGCAAGACCUCUUAAUGAAUUUUUAAAACAACCCAAUAUCUGUUUUAUUUAAUCUUCCUUUUUUCUGUGUUUUAAACAAGAAUCAGUUUUUAAGGGGAUGGGCUGAAGUAGAAGUACAGCUGCUGUCAAAGUAAAUUUAAUGGGUGACGAGGAACCAGCUUGCAACAGAGUAGGUAUGUAAGACACUAACGGAACUGCAAUCAAGAGAAGAAACCCAUAAAACCCAAUACGGUCAAGGGCAAGGGAGGAAUGUUUUUGGGGGGCUUGUGCUCAUCUAUUCACAGGAGGAGUGCAGUAUCAUGGGAAAAUCAAGGAUUUUGAAAACAUAUAGGCCUGACUUCUAAGUUCUGACUCAAUUAUUUUUGAAGGCAAGAGGCUUCUCACACACCUUUACACAAAGACAUUAUUAAGACGACAGUUAUUAUUUGAGGAUAACAAAAUCACAAGUGUCAUCUAGACAGGAUUUGUAGAGACAUCAACACGUGUAUUUUUAUUUUCUCCAUGUUCUACAGAAUAUUCCAAUGUGCAGUGGGGCAGGUGCCUCAGUAUGUGUAUGUGUGUUUUCUCUGUUGACUUUCAAUGAGUCAGAUUACCACUACUAUUUCAUUAAGACCUGCCCUGUAUAUAGGUUGACCAUAAAUUGAACAGCUAUAAGUACUUGCAAAAAUAAUAGAAAUUUCCUGUUUCAUGUCUACAUACAUCCUAUAAAAUACUUCAUUUACUUAUGGAAGCUCUCCUUAUAACACGUUUCAAUUAAUUCUACAGUAACUGAAAACAGUUUUGCUGUUAUAAUAUCUUGGUUUUCAUGUUUUAAUGUAAUUUAAAUUUUUUCCAGAUAUUGUUAAGGGAGGAAAUAAACAAUGAAAAGACUAAUGCAAAGUCUGCUACCUACAUGUCCCUGAUAAUAAACCUAUGUGAAUUUCAGUUUUGUCAACUAUAAUAUAGUGGGAUUAGAUAAAAAGAGCUCAAAUAUUCCUUCUUAUAUUAAGAUUCUGUGAAUACAGAUUGAUUUUUUUUUUUUGCCCAGGAUGGUACCAAAACAAAUAUUUCUAUUAUUACAAAUCUAAUAAAAUUUCCCAUUUCUGAAAUUGAGAGUAGCAUUCCAGAAAAACUGAAAAGUCACAAAAUUAUAAGCAUGAAAUUUACGAUGGAAUAAUUUGACACCCAGAAUUGACAUCUUAUAACUGCCACUUUCCAAACAUUAUUUUAUCUUAUAAAUAUACUAAGGAAAUAUUCUGUGACUAUAUGGAGACAUAUGGAGAGAAUUACUCAUUUUCACUAUUUUUUAAUAUGUGGGUAUUUUGGUGGCAACUCGGGCUUAAUUUUAUAUUAGGUGUCCACUCUACAGAAAUGUAAAAUAACAUCUUCACUAGAAAGUAUCAUUUAACAAUUUUAUUUAGACUUUGAAAAAGAGACUUCACAAUCAAACUAACUUAGUUUUAAUACCUAUCUGUGAUUAUGAUAUAACAAUGACUUAAGAUUUUGCUGUAUGGAAAGAGUAAGCUAAAUUUUAUUUAAACAACUAUAUUUUAACUCUUCCAAGGGCAUUAUAUGCAUUAUUCUAUUUUUCUCCCUGACUUAUCUAGGUAAUGCAUAUUAUGCCUAUUUUAUAGAUUAGAAAGCUGGAGUUCUGAAUAAAGAAUCAAGGUGAGCUUGUUAAGAUGAUUUAAUAUACAUUAUUGUUUAAUAUCAGUAACAACCCUUUUAUUUUAUUUUUAUUGAAGUACAGCUUAUUUACAAUGGUAUAUUAGUUCCAGGUAUAUAACAUAGUGAUUCAAUAUUUUUAUAGAUUAUAAUUCAUUUAAAGUUAUUAUAAAAUAUUGGCUGUAUUCCCUGUGCUAUACAAUAUACCCUGUAGCUUUAUAUUUUUUAUAUAUAUGACAGUUUGGACUUCUUAACUCCCUACCCGACUUGCCCCCACCUCCUUCCCUCUCCUCAGUUCUGCUGGUAAUCACUAGUUUAUUUUCUAUAUGAGUGAAAUCUGUUUCUGUUUUGUUAUAUUCAUUCAUUUUUUUAGAUUCCACAUAUAAGUGAUAAUAUACAGUAUUUGUCUGACAUAUCACUAAGCAUAAUACUAUCUAGGUCCAUCUAUGUUGUUGCAAAUGGAAAAAUUUCAUUCUCUUUUAUGGCUGAGUAAUGUUAAAUUGUUUUACACACACACACACACACACACACACACAUGUUCUUUAUCAACUCCUUUGUUGAUGGACACUUAGGUUGCUUUCAUAUCAUGGCAACUGUAAAUAAUGUUGCUAUGAACAUUGGGAUGCAUGUAUCUUUUUUAAAUUAGUGUUUUAAUUUUCUUCAGAUAUAUACCACAGAGUGAAAAAUAAUGGAUUUAGAACACUUUCUCACACCAUAUACAAAAAUAAACUCAAAGUGGAUUAAAGAUCUAAAUGUAAGACUGGAAACCAUAAAAGUCCUAGAAGAAAACACAGGCAUAACACUCUUUGAAAUAAAUUGCAGCGAUAUUUUUUUUUUUGGAUCUAUUUCCUAAGGCAAAGGAAACAAAAGCAAAAAUAAAUGACUAGGACUUAAUUAAACUUAGAAACAUUUACACAGCAAAGAAAACCAUGAACAAAAGUGAAAAGACAACAUACUGAUUGAGAGAAAAUAUUUGCAAAUGAUAUAACUGAAACUGUUAUUAUUCAAAAUAUAUAAACAGAUCAUACAACUCAAACAGCAAAACAAACAACCCAAUUAAAAAAUGGACUGAAUGAAUACCUGAAUUGACAUUUUUUUUUCAAAGAAGAUAUACAGAUGGCCAACAGGCACAUGAAAAAUGCUUGACAUUGUUAACCAUCAUAGAAAUGCAAAUUAAAACCACAUGAGAUAUUGCCUCACACCUGUCAGAAUGGCUAUCAUCAAAAAGUCUACAAAUACCAAAUGUUGGUAAGGAUGUGGAGAAAAGGUAGCUAUUUGUCAGAAUGUACACUGGUGCAGCCAUUGUGGGAAACAUUAUGGAGGUUUCUCAAAAAACUAAAAACAGAAUCACAAGAUCCAGCAAUAAUAAUCCUUUUAUAGCUAGAGGCCACUCUCUCCCUGUUAGAGACAGGAAUAAUGAUAUUUAUAGGGAGGGGAUAAGUAACACACACGAGGUUACUGAACUUGCAGAAGAGUAAAAAGAACAAAAUGAGUAAAAAGCUAGUUCGGUUUAUACUCCAAAUCUUGUUCAUUUUACUCUCUCUUUCCUUCUUACAUCUCUAUUUUUUACAAGACUGGUGAGCAGGAAAAACAAAUUUGAGCUAUAACAGGUACAUGUGUUUGUGUGUAGGUAUACAUGCAUUUAUGUAAGUGUUAAAGAAACUGGAGGGGUUCCAUUGUUAAAAAGUCUAAGACAAGGUUUCUGGCAUCAAAGAGGCUAGACUCCAUACAGGGAGAGCAUUCAUGUAUUAAUACAAAAUUCAAAAAGAUGACAAUGCGGGAGUUCCCUUUGUGGCUCAGCGGUUAACCAACCUGACUAGGAUCCAUGAGGAUCCAGGUUCGAUCCCUGGCCUUGCUCAGUGGGUUAAGGAUCCAGCAUUGCCAUGAGCUGUGGUGAGGCUGCAGAUGGGGUUUGGAUCCUGCAUUGCUGUGGCUGUGGCUGGCAGCUGUAGCUCCGACUCGACCCCUAGCCUGG